This 499-nucleotide ribosomal RNA is filed under the name uncultured Glomeromycotina. RNAcentral describes it as "partial small subunit ribosomal RNA". It matches the Rfam family "Eukaryotic small subunit ribosomal RNA", at positions 591 to 1092 of the family's 1831-position model. The record is from RNAcentral. Lineage: Eukaryota; Fungi; Glomeromycota.
CCAAUAGCGUAUAUUAAAGUUGUUGCAGUUAAAAAGCUCGUAGUUGAAUUUCGGGAUCAAAUUGUCGGUCGUGCCUCGGUACGCACUGGUAUUAUUGGUUCCUACCUUCUGACGAACCGCGAUGUCAUUAAUUUGGUGUCGUGGGGAAUCAGGACUGUUACUUUGAAAAAAUUAGCGUGUUUAAAGCAGGCUUACGCUAGAAUACAUUAGCAUGGAAUAAUGAAAUAGGACGUUUGAUUCUAUUUUGUUGGUUUCUAGGAUUGACGUAAUGAUUAAUAGGGAUAGUUGGGGGCAUUAGUAUUCAAUUGUCAGAGGUGAAAUUCUUGGAUGUAUUGAAGACUAACUACUGCGAAAGCAUUUGCCAAGGAUGUUUUCAUUAAUCAAGAACGAAAGUUAGGGGAUCGAAGACGAUCAGAUACCGUCGUAGUCUUAACCAUAAACUAUGCCGACUAGGGAUCGGAUGAUGUUAAUUUUUUAAUGACUCAUUCGGCGCCUUACG